GCAUUUUCAAACCAAAAGUGUGAAACGCCUACGCGGGGAAACCAGUCCACUGGACUGAUUUCUAAUCCCGCUUCGAUACGUAGGAUAAUGCGAACAAACAAAGAAAUAGAGCGGUUCCAACGAUCCCGUUUUAACCGGAACUGCUCCAGGG
RNAcentral lists this unclassified non-coding RNA (151 nucleotides) under Brucella sp. 191011898. RNAcentral's name for it is "BASRCI153". The record is from RNAcentral. Lineage: Bacteria; Pseudomonadati; Pseudomonadota; Alphaproteobacteria; Hyphomicrobiales; Brucellaceae.